RNAcentral lists this ribosomal RNA (769 nucleotides) under uncultured bacterium. RNAcentral describes it as "bacterial SSU rRNA". It matches the Rfam family "Bacterial small subunit ribosomal RNA", at positions 62 to 826 of the family's 1533-position model. The record is from RNAcentral.
UCGAACGGGAAUGACACGCUGAUGCGAUUUCGGUCAAAUCUUGUGGCAUUUCAGUGGCGGACGGGUGAGUAACGCGUGGGUAACCUGCCUUACACAGGGGGAUAACACCUGGAAACAGGUGCUAAUACCGCAUAAGCGCACAGGGCCGCAUGGCCCGGUGUGAAAAACUCCGGUGGUGUAAGAUGGACCCGCGUCUGAUUAGCUUGUUGGCGGGGUAGAGGCCCACCAAGGCGACGAUCAGUAGCCGGCCUGAGAGGGUGGACGGCCACAUUGGGACUGAGACACGGCCCAAACUCCUACGGGAGGCAGCAGUGGGGGAUAUUGGACAAUGGGGGAAACCCUGAUCCAGCGACGCCGCGUGAGUGAAGAAGUAUUUCGGUAUGUAAAGCUCUGUCAGCAGGGAAGAAAGAAAUGACGGUACCUGACCAAGAAGCCCCGGCUAACUACGUGCCAGCAGCCGCGGUAAUACGUAGGGGGCAAGCGUUAUCCGGAAUUACUGGGUGUAAAGGGAGCGUAGACGGUGAUGCAAGUCUGGAGUGAAAGGCGGGGGCCCAACCCCCGGACUGCUCUGGAAACUGUAUGACUUGAGUGCAGGAGAGGUAAGCGGAAUUCCUAGUGUAGCGGUGAAAUGCGUAGAUAUUAGGAGGAACACCAGUGGCGAAGGCGGCUUACUGGACUGUAACUGACGUUGAGGCUCGAAAGCGUGGGGAGCAAACAGGAUUAGAUACCCUGGUAGUCCACGCCGUAAACGAUGAUUACUAGGUGUCGG